This is a long non-coding RNA of Armigeres subalbatus, 650 nucleotides long. RefSeq lists it as uncharacterized. The record is from RefSeq and is a predicted model, not a curated record. NCBI's taxonomy places the organism in Eukaryota, Metazoa, Arthropoda, Insecta, Diptera, Culicidae. The transcript is spliced from 2 exons.
ACUGGACAUUCGCCGUGGAAUUCUUACUUGCUGUCAUUCCCGUUUGUUGUUACUCCAUCGUUCUUCCGUCGCAUAACCAGACUGAGUAGGAUUUACGCCUUCGUGUUUAAAGUUAUUUUCCUGUAAAAGUUCAUAUUUUGAAACAAGUUACGGUCGAAAAAUAGAAAGAUGCAAAUUAAACGCACUCGAAUACAUCGAAAUCGGAACAAUCACUACCAGGAGGAUACUGCUCAAUUUGGUGAAGCUUGUUCCAGAGUGGCCUGUAUUCCCUUCUCGGUUGAAAUGGUUGGUAGAAGAAGCUCAUACAACCCUCAACCCACCUUUCCGAUUGAAAUAAAACGCAUCCUUACAAGGCGAAUGCAGCAGAUAAUCUACAUCAACCAAAUGGCAUCGAAACGAUCGUUGGUGUGAUGCUAUGAGCGAAAUAUGGUACCUUGCAGCGUACCAAGAGCAACAACUUAAAUCCAAAGUGCCAAUAAUGUGAUUUAAGUAAUUCCUAUAACGUAUCAAUUUAUAGCAUAUUAUUAUGAUUGUCAAACACUCCAGGCUAGGUAAGAUUGAUCAUUAUGUGUACUUUUAUUACCAGCACACUGUGUAUUAACAAGAAAUUUUAAUUUGUGAAAUAAUAAAGUUUGUUUCAUGCAAUUUAA